AUUGAACGCUGGGGGGAUGCUUUACACAUGCAAGUCGAGCGAGUGGCGGACGGGUGAGUAAUAUAUCGGGAGUGCCCGGUAGCGGGGGAUAACUACUCGAAACAGUGGCUAAUACCGCAUACUAUCGGAUAACCCAUAUGGGAUUAGCUAGUAGGUGGGGUAAUGGCUACCCUAGGCGACGAUCCCUAGCUGGUCUGAGAGGAUGAUCAGCCACACUGGGACUGAGACACGGCCCAGACUCCUACGGAGGCAGCAGUGGGGAAUAUUGCACAAUGGGCGCAAGCCUGAUGCAGCCAUGCCGCGUGUAUGAAGAAGGCCUUAGGGUUGUAAAGUACUUUCAGUCGGGAGGCGUUACCGACAGAAGAAGCACCGGCUAACUCCGUGCCAGCAGCCGCGGUAAUUC
Molecule: ribosomal RNA, 403 nt
Filed under: uncultured bacterium
Lineage: Bacteria
Description: partial 16S ribosomal RNA
Rfam family: Bacterial small subunit ribosomal RNA
Source: RNAcentral